RNAcentral lists this ribosomal RNA (499 nucleotides) under uncultured soil bacterium. RNAcentral's name for it is "bacterial SSU rRNA". It matches the Rfam family "Bacterial small subunit ribosomal RNA", at positions 982 to 1482 of the family's 1533-position model. The record is from RNAcentral.
UGACAUGCCAGGAACCUCGCAGAGAUGUGAGGUGCCCGAAAGGGAACCUGGACACAGGUGCUGCAUGGCUGUCGUCAGCUCGUGUCGUGAGAUGUUGGGUUAAGUCCCGCAACGAGCGCAACCCUUGCCAUUAGUUGCCACAUUCAGUUGGGCACUCUAAUGGGACUGCCGGUGACAAACCGGAGGAAGGUGGGGAUGGCGUCAAGUCCUCAUGGCCCUUAUGGGUAGGGCUUCACACGUAAUACAAUGGCCGGUACAGAGGGCAGCCAACCCGCGAGGGGGAGCUAAUCCCAGAAAGCCGGUCGUAGUCCGGAUUGCAGUCUGCAACUCGACUGCAUGAAGCCGGAAUCGCUAGUAAUCGCGGAUCAGCAUGUCGCGGUGAAUACGUUCCCGGGUCUUGUACACACCGCCCGUCACACCAUGGGAGUGGGUUCCACCAGAAGUAGUUAGCCUAACCGCAAGGAGGGCGACUACCACGGUGAGAUUCAUGACUGGGGUG